Vespa mandarinia (Asian giant hornet) is the source of this 1989-nucleotide long non-coding RNA. Lineage: Eukaryota; Metazoa; Arthropoda; Insecta; Hymenoptera; Vespidae. The record is from RefSeq and is a predicted model, not a curated record.
AUCUAAGGAACUCAGUGACGGGAUAAACUCAGCCUUGGCAGUAAUUCAUAGCAAUUGCAGGAGGCGAGCUGCUAAUGUGGGCUUGAUAUCUCGAGAGAUGUUUCCUCGUCUCUCUUUCUCUCUUUCUCACUUCCUGACCUCAUCCGUCCUUUAAAUUCUCGUGCGGUCAUCUACCCGUGGAAUAUUUACCAAAAAAAGAAACAACCCUUUCGGAUACUUUUAACGAGGAAUGUAGAUUCUAAUUAGUGGCAACUCGACGAAUAAUUAUAUCUCGAAUGGCGGAAAUUUAGCGGAAUGUUCUGGGGCCUAACGGCGAAUCCGAAGUUUCAGCCUUCGACGGCAAUGGCGGCAAAUCCCACGCUCGUUUCUACCUAAAUAUUUCCUAACGAUCUACGCUAUUCAUUAGGUAUUAUCUCCAACUUGGUAUUUCGAUCGUUUGUGUUCGUAUAUGUUACAUCCUACGAUUCAUUAACUCUACCAUUCCAUCAUUCAUUUGAUUUGAUGCGAAAAAUAUCCUUUUGCCAUGGAAAAAUUAUUAAAUUUUAAAUAAGUAAUUAUAUCUCUGACGGCAAAUACGUAAGUUGAAAAUAUAAAUGAUAAAAUAACAUGCGGAAUCUUUAUAUUCAUAAAUGUGAUGUGAGUGUUUUAGGGAUGCUCGUGUAAAGGAUUAUUUGUCGACAAAAUCUGAGAAAGCAGAAUCCUCGGUAAUCUUUUAGAAGGCUUUUAGAUUUAUUUUUACUUGAAGAAUAUCCCUUGAAAAAGAACUUGCUCGUAAUUUUCAAGAAAAAUUGUUAAAUUAAAUCAAAAUAUUUGAGUAUUUUUAAAAUUGAAAACAAUUACUUAAUAAUAUUCAAUUUCAAUGAUUCUUUCAUAUAAAUGAACAUUUUUCAUAUAUUUCAUUUACAAAACGAUCAAUUCGAAUUUCAAUGUACUUGAGAUAUCCGGAAGAGAAUGAGUAUAAGUUCGAUUAUCGGAGAAAAAAAGAACAAAAACCUUAAGGAACUUUAAGAUUCAAUAAGAUUCACAAAAAGAAAGAAAGAGAGAAAGAGAGAGAGAGAGAGAGAGAGAGAGAGAGAAAGAGAGAGAGAGAGAGAGAAAGGAACAAGUGGGGAAGGGAAGUAGAAGAGAGGAUGGGUGGUUGAGGCUACUUAUUUGCAUUCGGAAAACAAAGGGUGUGGGCUGUGCGUAUGCUUGUUUCUCGUUCUGCGUAACGAAGGACGAAGGAAGACCAAUCAAAAGCUUCUUUUCCGUGUUAUUCAUCCCUUCAAAACGUCCUGUCCUUAGAUCAAGGAACGAUGAUAAUUAUAAGAAUUGUAUAAAAUAAUAAAAGAUCAUUCGAAUAAUUGAUUUCAGAUAGAUAUCAUUGCUAUGAUAAAACAAUGUGUAUACGGUUAUUUAACAAUGAUUUGAUCUGAUUAUAGCUUAAUUAAAUGUACUUCCAAAUCCUGCGAUGUUUCAUUGGAUCAAAUGGCGGCUAAUUGGUCAUCUCCAAAUGUGCAGAUUAGUCCUUCAUUAUACUAUCAUCGAUGCUCAUGUUUCGUGUUCAUGAUUAUCUGAAUAACUGCGAAUUCCAUGAAACCGAUUACUUGAUAAUAAUUUUCACUCAAAUUUUCAAAACAAUUUUAUGUAGUCGUGUGAAAAAAGUUUAUAAUUUUUAUAUGCUAUUAUGUUGUCACAGAUAUAAAUAAAAUGCGGAAGCAAUAAACUAUUGAAAAAGUAUAACUUCGGUUUGUUCUACUUUUAAGUUACGUAAUAUCUAUAUACCUAAUUUUAUUACGAACUUAUCAUAUGUUUCGUAAGCUAUAUUUAUCUAUAAUAACAAAAGUAAUAUCUCACGUUUUUCGUUAAGAUAUUAGUAAUGUAAGAGUCGUGAUGUGUUUGAUCAUAAAAUAGAUACUGACGAGUAUAUAAGGUUCUGUAAAUGCAAGGAGUAGCAAGAAAAUAUUUUGCUUAACGUCAAAUACACUAAAACGUUAAUACAAAAAAAAA